Ovis aries (sheep) is the source of this 72-nucleotide transfer RNA. It matches the Rfam family "tRNA". Rfam says of the family: Transfer RNA (tRNA) molecules are approximately 80 nucleotides in length. The record is from Rfam. Lineage: Eukaryota; Metazoa; Chordata; Mammalia; Artiodactyla; Bovidae.
UCCUUGAUAUCUCAGCUGGUAAAGAAUUUGCCUCCAGUGCAGAAGACCCUGGUUCAAUUCCUGGGUGGGGAA